RNAcentral lists this Y RNA (93 nucleotides) under Saimiri boliviensis boliviensis (Bolivian squirrel monkey). Its description in RNAcentral is "Y RNA (ENSSBOG00000006386.1)". It matches the Rfam family "Y RNA". Rfam says of the family: Y RNAs are components of the Ro ribonucleoprotein particle (Ro RNP), in association with Ro60 and La proteins. Lineage: Eukaryota; Metazoa; Chordata; Mammalia; Primates; Cebidae. The record is from Rfam by way of RNAcentral.
AGCUGGUCCAAUGGUAGUGGGUUAUUAGAACUUAUUAACAUUAGUGUCACUAAAUUUGGUAUACAACCCCCCACCGCCAAAUUUGGCUAAAAA